AUUGAACGCUGGCGGCAGGCCUAACACAUGCAAGUCGAGCGGAUGAAGGGAGCUUGCUCCUGGAUUCAGCGGCGGACGGGUGAGUAAUGCCUAGGAAUCUGCCUGGUAGUGGGGGAUAACGUCCGGAAACGGGCGCUAAUACCGCAUACGUCCUGAGGGAGAAAGUGGGGGAUCUUCGGACCUCACGCUAUCAGAUGAGCCUAGGUCGGAUUAGCUAGUUGGUGGGGUAAAGGCCUACCAAGGCGACGAUCCGUAACUGGUCUGAGAGGAUGAUCAGUCACACUGAGACUGGACCACCAUCCUGACUCCUACAGGAGGCCCCAGUGCGGACUAUUGGACAAUGGGCGAAAGCCUGCUCCAGCCAUGCCACGUGUGUGAAGAAGGUCUUCGUGUUGUAAAACACUUUAAGUUGGGAGGAAGCGUAGUAAGUUAAUACCUUCCUGUUUUGACGUUACCUACAGAAUAAGCACCGGCUAACUACGUG
Molecule: ribosomal RNA, 484 nt
Filed under: uncultured bacterium
Lineage: Bacteria
Description: partial 16S ribosomal RNA
Rfam family: Bacterial small subunit ribosomal RNA
Source: RNAcentral